Molecule: non-coding RNA, 428 nt
Organism: Pelobates cultripes (western spadefoot toad)
Lineage: Eukaryota; Metazoa; Chordata; Amphibia; Anura; Pelobatidae
Source: the annotation of a GenBank genome assembly
GACUAAUGAAGCUACAGGAAGUUGAGGUAUAAGAUCCAAUUAGCGUCCACUCAAUGUGACUGUAAAUGAUGGAAAUCCUGUUUCAUUCAUUAUGUCUUUUUAUCUAAGAUCAGUUUCCAUCUGGUCCCGAUCAUAUUUAGGGUGUAUGAUUUGACGUACUUUGCAUAGCGAAGUAAAUUAAACUUCAUUAUUCAGCUCAAACUAAAAAAUGCAUGGCACUACGCAUGGUGGCAAAGGAUAGUGACGCAAAUCUAAAAUCAUGGCUGUCUCUCCAACAACAGAGCAGUCUCACCUCAGAAAUAAAUGUUCGCUUUAAUUACUCCUUUCAGUGCAAUUUGUGUUUGAUGCUCAACACUUUAAAAUGACAAAAUACCUGGCACAUGGGAUAGUCCAGUUGGUUAGUACUCCGACUCCAGGUUCUGUUUCUG